Molecule: ribosomal RNA, 368 nt
Filed under: uncultured bacterium
Lineage: Bacteria
Description: partial 16S ribosomal RNA
Rfam family: Bacterial small subunit ribosomal RNA
Source: RNAcentral
CCUACGGGAGGCAGCAGUAAGGAAUAUUGCUCAAUGGAGGAGACCCUGAAGCAGCAACGCAGCGUGAAGGAUGACUGUUUUCGGAGUGUAAACUCCUUUUUUUAUAGGAGUUAAUGACGGUAUCUAACGAAUAAGCAACGGCUAACUCCGUGCCAGCAGCCGCGGUAAUACGGAGGGUGCAGGCGUUACUCGGAGUCACUGGGCGUAAAGAGGGCGUAGGCGGGAUAGUAAGUGAGAUGUGAAAUUCUUGGGCUUAACCAUAAAACUGGAGUUGAAACUGUUAGUCUAGAGUAUGGGAGAGGUAGGCGGAAUUCGUGGUGUAGGGGUGAAAUGCGUAGAGAUCAAGAAGAAUACUCAUUGCGAAGGCG